CAUUACCGAGAGAGGGGCUUCGCGCUCCCGGGGGCUUCGGCCUCCACCUCUUCACCCAUUGCGUACCUACCUUUGUUGCUUUGGCGGGCCAUGGGGUUCGCCCCACGCCGGCCUAUGCGCUGGUGAGCGCCCGUCAGAGGUCCUCAAAAUUCUGUUUAUAGUGACGUCCGAGUUAAACACAAAUAGUUAAAAACUUUCAACAACGGAUCUCUUGGUUCCAGCAUCGAUGAAGAACGCAGCGAAAUGCGAUAAGUAAUGUGAAUUGCAGAAUUCAGUGAAUCAUCGAAUCUUUGAACGCACAUUGCGCCCCUCGGUAUUCCGGGGGGCAUGCCUGUUCGAGCGUCAUUGCACCCCUCAAGCACAGCUUGGUAUUGGGUCUCGCCCCCCGGGCGUACUCGAAAAGCAGUGGCGGUCCGGAGCGACUUUAAGCGUAGUAAAUUUUCAUCCCGCUUUGAAAGAUCGUCUCGGGGCUGGCCAGAAACCUAAAAUUUUUCAUAAUUGACCU
RNAcentral lists this ribosomal RNA (505 nucleotides) under uncultured Usnea. Its description in RNAcentral is "eukaryotic LSU rRNA". The stretch from base 192 to 345 matches the Rfam family "5.8S ribosomal RNA". Lineage: Eukaryota; Fungi; Ascomycota; Lecanoromycetes; Lecanorales; Parmeliaceae. The record is from RNAcentral.